CUUGACCUCAAAUCAGGUAGGACUACCCGCUGAACUUAAGCAUAUC
RNAcentral lists this ribosomal RNA (46 nucleotides) under Amanita fritillaria. RNAcentral describes it as "partial 28S ribosomal RNA". Lineage: Eukaryota; Fungi; Basidiomycota; Agaricomycetes; Agaricales; Amanitaceae. The record is from RNAcentral. RNAcentral also lists the same sequence under 5 other names.